AAGGAUUUAAGUUAAUAAAACUAGAAGCCUUCAAAGCUUCAAAUAAAGAUUUUAUCUUUAAGCCUUA
RNAcentral lists this transfer RNA (67 nucleotides) under Staphylinidae sp. BMNH 1274178. RNAcentral's name for it is "tRNA-Trp". The record is from RNAcentral. Lineage: Eukaryota; Metazoa; Arthropoda; Insecta; Coleoptera; Staphylinidae.